CCGGGAUUGCGCUGUACGCUACAGCUGCUGUCAUCCCCUCGCGGGGGCGGACUCCGGCGCACGCGAUGCUGCUCUGCUUCACACACAGAUUACAGCCUGGACCCGUUGAAGAAGUCCCGUUCUUAUCGAUGUAAACGCGGUCGUUUUGCGAGUAUUUCUUCUCCAAAGGUGGCAAGCAAGGACAGUGAGGCUGGCGAGGUGUAGCCCCCACGCCAAGGUUCCCCCUCAUUUCCCGCGUUUGAAGAUGUUAGGACUGAUAAGUUAUGAGCGGGCUGGCGGGAUACGUUGACAUUUUGAUUUACCGUUUGUCCAUUGGCUACUAGGAUUCAACAAAAAGUUCCCUCAAUAUGUAGCUGUUCAAAGCCCAGGCACACCUAAUGCGAAGCACGUGAAGCGGGGCAGGUUGGUGGAGUCUAGUGUUCAGGAUGUUUCACUACAUGGGUUCAAACCCAAAUAGUGUCUGAAAUCCUCCCGUAGGACACAUGACAGGUGAGGAGGUUAUCUGUUUCAGGCCAUUGGGAGGCUUUGCAUCGCCCUCCAACCCUACACACAUUAGACACCAAAAUGAUCAAGAUUUAAGCCGUACCCCGGUGAUCUGGAAAGAGAUUUUGGUAAUCCUCAUUGCAAAUCUGUUCUCCCUCCGUGGCCUACAUCUCUCCAUGGAGAUGCUGACUACAUUACUGCACUGUUAUGAAACACUUUCUUUCUUAUUCUUUCUAUCACUUUCCACCACACAGCUACCACUAUUGCACUGUAAACACAUAACUAACUACUAUCACUUUUUAUUAGCCAUUAAA
Molecule: long non-coding RNA, 797 nt
Organism: Gadus chalcogrammus (walleye pollock)
Lineage: Eukaryota; Metazoa; Chordata; Actinopteri; Gadiformes; Gadidae
Exons: 4
Source: RefSeq, a predicted model, not a curated record